UUUUACGGUCAUACCACCCUGAAUGUGCACGAUCCCAUCUGAUCUCGGAGCUAAGCAGGGUUGGGCCUGCUUAGUACUUGGAUGGGAGACCACCUAGGAAGACCAGGUGCUGCAGGGC
This 118-nucleotide ribosomal RNA is filed under the name Pteropus alecto (black flying fox). The record is from RNAcentral. Lineage: Eukaryota; Metazoa; Chordata; Mammalia; Chiroptera; Pteropodidae.